Molecule: long non-coding RNA, 5609 nt
Filed under: Solanum lycopersicum (tomato)
Lineage: Eukaryota; Viridiplantae; Streptophyta; Magnoliopsida; Solanales; Solanaceae
Description: long non-coding RNA (SLYC_LNC000489)
Source: RNAcentral
GAAGAGAAGUUUGUUAAUGUUAGUAGUUGAUAAAAAUUAUUUACACGAAAAUGCCUUUAAAUGGUAUCAGGUCUCAUUUGUUUUCAUUUUGAAUUUGAAUGCACACAUCUGAAUAUUAAAUAGUUGAAGAUUGAUUACUUCUCAACAUUUUAAUAUAUAAAAUUUGUCUUUGUUCAAAAGGUAAUAAAUAUAAAAUCAAAAUAAAUUAUAAAACUAAUAUAAUAUCAUAUCAAUGAAAUAUUUUUAAAUUCUAUAUAGCAAUUGGUGCUAGUGAUGACUAAUAAUGAUGGUUAUGGAUAAUAACUACAUGAUAUAAUAGUUGAUAGCUAAUGAUAUGAACUAUUACGAUUAAUAAUGAUGGUUAGCAACAUAUAAACACUAAACAUCUUCAUAAUCCUAUCAUACAAUAUUUACUUUCUUAUAAUUUUCUAACUUCCUUUGCAAUUAUUGUUACCCUGCAGACUUUUCCUGAUGAAUUUUUGAAGCAUCUGAAGGGACAUGAUCAGUAUGAACAUGCAAUAUUGAGAUGGGCUAGUAAGUGAUAACGAAGUCAGAAAUUUUAUAAAAAAUAUUCAUAAUUUGAUGUGUCGGUAUUUAUAUUACUGUCUAUUUUUAUCUUUGUAUUCAUUUAAGAAAUCUCUCUUAUUAGGAGAUCUAUUUUUAUGGUUGAGAAUGUUGUAUUUCAAUAGCAUUUUUUUUUUACAAUUAAUGAAAUAAAAUAAUAAAUCUAUCUUGAUUUUUUAAAAUGAACGAGUAAAAAAAAAAAAAAAGUUUUUCAAUAUUGAGUAAGUAAAAGGAAACCGAGGAAGUAUGUAAGAAUAACAAGUUAUAUUUUUUUUUUACCUAUGUAUAAUUUUUCUUAUAACUAACUAUCCUUCAUUCUUUAUGAUUACGUGAUUGCAGAUAAAAAUUGGCCGGUGAAAUUGAACGGUGUGAGACUAGAAGACGGUCUUGAAAAGUUUGUAGAGCAAAAUAACUUGGAGGAGGGAGAAAUAUUGUCAAUCGAAUACGAAGGAAAUAUGAAAUUUGAAGCUAUCAGGUUUGAUCCGUCUAAACAAUGUGAGAUAUUAGAAGUACAACCAAGGGCACCAAAAGUUGUGAAGAGUUCUGACGAAUCUAAAUCCAAAGGUAAAAGUUCUAUAAGAUAAAGGUGAAAAAUGAUAUUUGAAAAAAAAAAAAAAAAGAAGUUAAACAAGAGUAUAUAGUGUGUUAUUUAUUGCUUAUUAGCUUCAUGCAAUAUUUUUUAUAUCGUCGUUAGAUAAUUAUCUUGAAAAACAUACUACUCAUUAGUAAUAUGAUUAAUUUAAAACUAAACUUAAUAUUACAUAUUAAAGUUCACUAAUAAUUUUAUUUAAAUUUUACCAUGCAGGAGCUGCUACACAGAAGCAUUUAGGUCAUCCCUAUUUUGUAUGUACCAUUAGACCAUAUUCUUUUAAAUAUGGUUACUUGGUAAGUCCAAUUUUAUUUAUUUUUUAAAUUUACAUACUUUAAUUGUGUUACAAAAGUAUUGUACUAUCACUAUAUUAUUGUAUUAAUAUGUUUAUUAAUUGUUUCAGUGUCUUCCUCUAGACUUUGUAACGAAAAACAAUCUCCGUCACAAGAUAGGGGAUUUGAUUAUUAGAGAUGAAAAACAGAGAUCGUGGAAUCUAAGACUAAAUUCUUUUAGUUCGAAACGAUUUGUUCUUAAUGGUGGAUGGCCUGAAUUUAGUAAUGCAAAUGAUAUAAAGGAGGGAGAUGAAGUAAUGUUUGAGAUUGUUUCUAAUGAAGAGAAACAAAUAUGGCAAUUCAAGAGUAAGUUUUUUUUUUUUUUCAUUUAAAGUAAUUACCUUAUUUUUCCAAUAAUUUUUAUUAAUUGCAAUAGUAGAAUAUUGUCACAUCAAUUAAAUAUAGUGAGUGAUUUUAAUUAGUCAAUCUCCCCUUAUAGAAAAUUCUGAAUCCAAUUUCAGAAGUUCGUACUGAGAAGCUUUUUGGUAAUUAACAUUUUUGUAUUAACUGUGGUUUUUUUUAAAUAAUAGACUACUGACACGUCAAUUAAAUUAUAGAAAAUAUCAUCUAAAUAUUACGAGUGAUUUUGAUUUUAAUUAUGUUACAGAAAAAGCAAGUAACAACGUCAAGUCAUCUCUCCUCGUAGAGCCCCCGAAAGUCAAGUCGCGGAAACCUUCUCAAAGACGAGAUAUUAAAGCUAUGAUGGUAGACGUUGUUCACAUGCCUGUUGGUAAUUCUCAUUUGAAUUUUGGUGUGCUUUUUGCAAUUAUAAAUAGUCGAUGCAUGAAAAAACAAUAUCUAAAUCUUGUGACUAAUUCUAAAUUGUUAACCAUGUAACAGAUAAACUAAUCCAUAAGAACAAGUCAUCUUUCGUUGCAAAGACCCCAAAAUCGAAGUCGAGGGAACUUCGUCAAAGACAGGAGCUUGAAGAUCAGACUUUAAAAGCUUUUCCUCACAAGUCUUUUGGUAAUCAUCUCAUCUUAUAUUCAAUAUGAUUUUAGAAACAACAAAAUACUGUUUAGUCAAUCUAAAAUUUUUUCCUUAAAGAAAAACCUAUUUAGGGUAAGAAAUUUAGGGCAAAUAAAAUCCAACAGUUUUGCUCUUUGCAAUAAUAGAUUAUUGUCGCGUUUGUUAAGUGAUUGAACAUAUCACUUGAAUGUAGUAAGUGAUUUUUAACUUUUAACUAUGUAACAGAUGAAUCAAACCACAACAUCAAGUCCGCUCCCCUUGCUAAGACCCCUAAACCUAAGUCGAGGAGACCUGCUGAAAGAGAUGAUUUUGAAGAUCGAUCGUUAGAAGCUGUUACUCACAAGCCCAAUGGUAAAUUUUUUAUUUUGGUUUGAUUUUAGCAGCAAUAUAAUACAAUCAUAUUAGUUAUGUGAUUGUACAUAUCAUUUGAAAUGUAUCGAAUAAUUUUAACAUUUUGGACAAGUCAAAUCACAAAAAUUUCAACUCGUCACCCCUUGCAGAGCCCUCUAAGUUAAAGUUGGGGGGGCUUCAUCAAAGACAGGAAUUUGAAGAAGGAACAUUUGAAGCUGCUACUCACAAGUCUCUUGGUAAUUUUCAUUUGUAUUUAGUUUGAUUAUAACAUCAAAUUAAGUUAUGAAAAUAUUAUCUAAAUAUCGCGAGUUAUAUUAACUUUUAAAUUGUGUAACAGAUAAACCAACUCACAAAAAACUCAAGUCAACGCCCCUCGCGGAGCCCUCUCAAUCCAAGCCGCGAGAACUUCCUCAAAAACAGAAUUUUGAAGAUCAGACGACAAAUGUUGCUACUCAAAAGCCUCAUGGUAAUUUUUCAUUUCAUAUACAAUGUGAUUUUUUUACAAUAACAAUAAUAAUGUCAAGUUAUAGAAAAUAUUAUCUAAAUAUUGCGAGUUAUAUUAACUUUUAAAUUAUGUAACAGACGAAUCAAACUACUACACCACUUCAUCAAAAGAGGCAACUCCCCUUAAAGAUGAUCCUCACAAAUCUAGUGACAAUCCUUGUAUUUUGAUCAAUGUUAAUCCCUAUUGCCUCGUGACCGAUACCUUGGUAAGUUCGAAAAAAAAAAAAAAAAACUUCAAUUUUUUUUUCAUGUAAGAAAUAUGAAGUAUAUACAACGUUUGAUUUUGAUUUAUUCGUAAACUAUUUCAGUUAAUCCCCGAAAAAUUUGCAUUGGCAAAUGAUCUCUUCAGAAUCAAGAAGUGUGAUUUGAUUAUCAGAGAUGAUAACGAUAGGUCGUGGAAUGUUACAUUACGCGAACAUAACAAUUAUGUUUUUAUUAAAGAUGGAUGGAAAAAAAUUCGCGAUACAUAUUACAUAAAGGAGGGAGAUCAGAUAAUGUUUGAGAUUGUUACUGGUGGAGAUAAACCAAUAUGGAAAUUUCAUGGUAAGUUUUCUUAUGACUAAAUUUUUUGUAUUUAUGUUAUUGAAUUUUUCUAACAAAUAUUAUUUUUACACUAAUUUUUUUCUUUUUUUUUGCAGGCAAAAUUUCAAAAGAAUUUGUAAAGAUGAUUCAACAGAAUGGACUUGAACAGUGAUUGAAGUUGUCUAUGAUGGAAAAGAAAAAUCAACAAUGAAGCAAAUUGAACACCCCCCCCCCCUCCUCUUAUAUUUUGGGUUUGCAAUGACUAUAAACUAUUUUAAUUUUUUUGGAAUAAUUCGAUGAGUUUAGUAAAUUAUAUGCAGACAAUGAAUAGACAUUAUUUGUGGCAUUGAAGAAUUAUUUUUGAUUUCGAUAUGAUGAUGUAGAAAACCUUAUAUACUAUAUGCAGACAAUGAAAAGACAUUAUUUGUGGCAUUGAAGAAUUAUUUAUGAUUUCGAUAUGAUGCUAUAGAAAAUCUUAUAUAUUAUAUUAUGCAGACAAUGAAUGGACGUUAUUUGUGGCAUUGAAGAACUAUUUCUGAUUUCGAUAUGAUAAUGUAGAAAAUCUUAUAUGCUAUGUAAGGUGCACAAAAUUUGAACUGGUUUAAUUUCUUAAAAAGGAGAGAAAUAUAUCAGCGAACUAAGUAAAAAAGAGAGAAAUCAUCGUAAAAAGCUUUAUCUUCGUUCUUUCUAAAAAAAAAUAAAAAUUCAAUCAUACAAUAUAAAUAUCAUAUAACCAUGAAGCAAAAUUUACUAAUUUGACUAAAACAGAUUCGCAAAAAACACUUGUCACUUACAAUUAUGAUUUUAUUAAGCCAUAUUAAAAAUAUUGAGAUUUUUUUUUUUUUUAUGAUACAACUCAAACGAUCCCUGAUUCAGAAUUUAAAUUAUACAACGACGAUCGUUGCCAAAACAACAAAUAAACCAAAGGAAACUGACAAUUUUGUAGCAGAUGAUGGUGGUGGGGCCUGAUCAGCGGGAGGUGUGUCAGCGUCAGGUGCAGAUGACGGUGCGUCCUGAGAAGGAGCAGGGGCCUCUGCUUCUUCAGCGGGGGCCUCUGCUUCUUCCUCAGCGGGGGCCUCUGCUUCUUCAGGGGCCUCUGCUACCGGUGAUUUUUUAGGCGUGUGUGCCUUUGGUGGUGGAGCUGAAAUCGGUGCCAUUGUUCCAUCGAGACCAGGCGUAACAAUAGGUUGAGAAAUUCCAAGAAUCGAGAUAUUGUAAGGCUGAUUCAUAACGGAUUUCUCAAGUUUUGAAUCUCUUUGAGCACCAACUACAGCUGAACCAAACACGAAACUACCAUCUUUAGCAGUAACAUUUAGGAAACCUUGAUCAUACGCUGCUUUACCAGAUUGUUGAAACAUUGUCGUCAUCUUCGCUGUUUUGUCCUUCAUCUUCUGAAGUUUCAUUGGAUCGUAGUAAUCCAAUACGACAUGUGUAGCCAACACUCUCUUAAGAACAUCAUCUGAUUUCGAUGUAAGAUCACCAACUGCACCAUUUGGUACAGCUAAAAGUGUAAUUGUACCCCUCGAAUUAAUAUCGCUAGCUAAGCCAGAUUUCGAUAGAAGUUCAUUGAAUGUACUGUAAUCGGAAUAUUGACCGAGGAUUUUUGUGAUAUUAAAGGCUGAGGCAGAGGACGCGAACAAGAUUAAGAAUGAACAUAGCAAAGGAAUAGUUGAGCGACUCAUUUUUGCUGGUGUUCUUUUUUCCGAUUUUUCUUAAAAAAACCAGCAAAAAUGAGAGAUUUAUUGUUUAUUAAGAGAAAAAAACGAACUCCGACUUGC